UGCAAGUUUGUACCAGGACAGCUUACAUUUUGGGUGCUUCUCUUGGAGCCAUCGGUUCCGGAUGUACGGCGAGAGACGUACCAUGGACGAUUGCCCCGGCGAGAUGUACGGCUGCGAUGCACCCAACGGGGACGAAAGCACAAGAAAGAACCAAUAUGACGAUAAUUACAGGUGAGUACCUAUGGAUGCUCUAAAAUCAGACUACCAGGGCAACGCCACAAAGAUCGCUAGCGUAUAGGUCGCUACGAUGAGGAGCACCGGCAGGAGGCGAAGGAGCACGAGCUCCGUAGCUCCUUCCCCUUCCGGCUCACAAGACCCGCGGCCCUCCCAACUCCCUCCACUGGAAGUUCUCCCAGGUCCGCGGCCGGAGGCCAGUACAACGGCAAGCUCCAAGAUGACGGUAUAUAUGUAUCAAUAUAUAUGUCGAACGUCAGGGCCGCUUGUUUGUUGAACUAAUCGGUGCUUGCACGCCGUGCUGCAGCGGACGAAGUCUCGGCUACCGAAUUCGACGGCUGCGGCGAGUACCUGGCCACCGGUGACCACGCCGGCCGUGCCAUCCUCUUCCGAAGGACCGACGAAGACGACGUAAGAGUCUCGCAUCUUAGUUUGACGUUCUGCACAGCUUGGAGAUCGGCGAGAAGAUCAAGAGGGUGAGGUGGCGCGCGCCGCCGAACAGUUCCCUGUUCAUGCUCACCACGAAUGACCGAACGGUCAAGCUCUGGAAGCUUCAGGGCAGGUCUCCGAUCACAAGGCGAAGAAAGGGUCCGAUCAGUCACGACGGGGUACACCGACGUUGUCACUGCAAGAACCAUACCCUGAGUGGGCAACCAAGAAAGCGAGGGGUCUGCCUGCAGAUUCUGCUGAACAUUCCGAAAAGGUUCAGCAUUGCAGUCGGGCAUCGGCACGGGAGCGGCCGCGCGAGAUGUGAGCUCUCGGCCCGCCGAUGGGCGCGGGUGGGAGCGGAGCCGUGAGGAUUUGCACGCGCGCGCUAGUCUGAACGGCCUCACCACCGAGCACGGUUUGCUGGCGCGUUCUUGCUUUUUUCUGAAACUGUUUCUCACUAAACAGAUUCCGAGAUCGCGAGAACCGCCUCCAGCCGAACACAUUUUCCACCGAGAUAAUCUCUUGCAGCACCGACUUGAGAUUUACUAGCGAUGGAAGAUCUCUUCUAACUCGCGACUACAUGAAUCUGAAGGUGCUGUGAGUACUAAGUACCAACUGUACAGUUACUCAUUGCUCCCCCAUUGAAACCUCACCGUUUGCAGCUCUGGGACUUGCAUGUGGAGAGCUCACCCAUCGCAACAUACAAGGUGGCACGGGUUCCUUCGUCCAAAGGUACAUACAUAAUUGAUCCAUCAUAGGAAUACUUCGCUAUCAAACAUCGCCUCCCCAAUUAGA
Long non-coding RNA from Phragmites australis (common reed), 1398 nucleotides. RefSeq lists it as uncharacterized. The record is from RefSeq and is a predicted model, not a curated record. The transcript is spliced from 3 exons. Lineage: Eukaryota; Viridiplantae; Streptophyta; Magnoliopsida; Poales; Poaceae.